This 324-nucleotide unclassified non-coding RNA is filed under the name soil metagenome. RNAcentral describes it as "partial contains 5.8S ribosomal RNA, internal transcribed spacer 2, and large subunit ribosomal RNA". The stretch from base 1 to 120 matches the Rfam family "5.8S ribosomal RNA", at positions 35 to 154 of the family's 154-position model. The record is from RNAcentral.
GAUGAAGAACGUAGCGAAAUGCGAUAAGUAAUGCGAAUUGCAGAAUUCAGUGAGUCAUCGAAUCUUUGAACGCACAUUGCGCCCUGUGGUAUUCCGCAGGGCAUGCCUGUUCGAGCGUCAUUUCAACCCUCAAGCCUCGCUUGGUGUUGGGCCCUGCCCGCCGCGGCCGGCCCUAAAGAUAGUGGCGGCGCCGCCUGGCCCUCAGCGUAGUACAGCUCUCGCUCCAGGGUCCGGCGGCAGCCUGCCAGAACCCCCCAACUCUGUGGUUGCCCUCGGAUCAGGUAGGGAUACCCUCUGAACUUAAGCAUAUCAAUAAGCGGAGGA